This 259-nucleotide ribosomal RNA is filed under the name uncultured prokaryote. Its description in RNAcentral is "partial 16S ribosomal RNA". It matches the Rfam family "Bacterial small subunit ribosomal RNA", at positions 524 to 782 of the family's 1533-position model. The record is from RNAcentral.
UACGGAGGAUCCGAGCGUUAUCCGGAUUUAUUGGGUUUAAAGGGUGCGUAGGUGGAUUGGUAAGUCAGUGGUGAAAGUUUGCAGCUUAACUGUAAAAUUGCUGUUGAAACUGCCGGUCUUGAGUGCAAAUGAGGUAGGCGGAAUGCGUCGUGUAGCGGUGAAAUGCUUAGAUAUGACGCAGAACUCCGAUUGCGAAGGCAGCUUACUGGGAUGCAACUGACGCUGAGGCACGAAAGCGUGGGUAUCAAACAGGAUUAGA